AAUCAACGCUGGCGGCGUGCCUCAGACAUGCAAGUCGAACGCGAAACCUUCCUUCGGGAGGGGAGUAGAGUGGCGCACGGGUGAGUAACACGUAGGUAAUUUGCCUUCGGGUGGGGAAGUAACAGCCGGAAACGGCUGCUAAUACCGCAUAAUGCAGCGGCUCGACAUCGAGACAGUUGUUAAAGCGGGGGAGUUCGCAAGAACCUCGCGCCUGAAGAGAAGCCUGCGGCAGAUUAGCUAGUUGGUAGGUAAUGGCCUACCAAGGCGACGAUCUGUAACCGGCCUGAGAGGGCGGUCGGUCACACUGACACUGACAUACGGGUCAGACU
Molecule: ribosomal RNA, 329 nt
Filed under: uncultured bacterium
Lineage: Bacteria
Description: bacterial SSU rRNA
Rfam family: Bacterial small subunit ribosomal RNA
Source: RNAcentral